AUGGAGGGAGAUUAAUGUGAAUGGGGUGCCGUCUUUUCCGGUGGUCAUCGAUGGCUAUCACUAUCGCCGCGCCAUCUCUUGCAAUGAGCGCCACCGUCGAGCCUCGAUCCCGCCCGUCCUCAUCCGCUUCUUCCUCUCCUCCUCCGCCGCCCUCGCUCUUGGUAGGUUUCUUGAUGGAUCUCGUCGGCUACGUGGAGGACACGGCCGCCGCAUCACCAUGCGAUCUUCCCACUAGGGAGUAUGCACCGUCUUCUCCAUGUGCUUGUCAAGUCUCGGGAGGGUUCUUCGUUAGGCUUCUUUCUAAACGAAGGAACAGCUUCCUUCGCUUGGUGGAUCAGUUGGAAAAGGGUAAGUGGGUGGUAAGUAUAGUUGCUCAUUUAAUCUUGGCAUUUUCAUGGGAAGCGACUUCUUGGUUUGAAAUUUGCAUGUCUUUUGAGUGUUUUUGUCUUCUCCUAACAUGCCAGAACUUAAAUUGGCAGAAAUUCUUUCAGAAUAAAGCAGUGACAAUUAGAGUCAGAUUUGUUCAGAACCAUUAGAAUUAUGUUAUUUAACAUGGAUAAUCUUGAAUCUGGCAUAUAUUAUAAUUAUUCUUUCUUUCUUCUUGUUUAUACUUUGGAUUCAAGGAUAGAUCAGAGGCAUAAGCAUAAUAUUGAAGGUACUUGGGAUAUAAGGCAUGGACAUGGACACAGAAUUUAGGACGAAAAGCAAAACAGCACAUGGCACAGACAUGGUAGGUAUGGAAAUGAAAUGAGUGGAAAAUGAUAAAACAGAAGAUAACAAGCUCACUACCCAAAUAAAGUGAUACAUAUAUCAUCACCCAAAGAGUAUAGGGCUUAACAACUCUAUAGUAUCCACCAAAGAGAUAUGGAUUUGCAAGAGAAGAAUAAGACCUCUGAAAAAAAAUUUAUUCUCGUAUUCCCUCUUAAGGCUUUCAAGACAUGAUAUUUAUAGUGUUAGGCUUGGAACAAACCUCCAAGCAUGAGUUAUUAAUGCUUCAACAUUUUCAAGAUCAAAAUAAAUAAAAACUAAAUUAAAUAUUUGUAAUAACUCAAAGUCAUCUAGGAACUCCAAAAGGUGAGAAUAACUUUCUUACGAUCUCGAUAGAACAAUUACUUAAUCAUUGUAGAAAGAACUGAAUGUAACUUUCUCUUGAAAACUUGAAAUCAAAUUUUGUAAAUUGCUUUGAACUCCUAACUCAACAAACUUUUAGUGAUGUAUAAUUUAUCAAGGAAUUAAUGUGGAAUGAGUAUUAAGAUUUUGAUUUAUUGGAAAACUAAGAGAUCAAUGUAACUAUCUUGACUUCUCUUAACUGAGAGUAUGGGGACACUUCUAUAUUAGUAACUAAUUCAUGUACACAUUCAAUGUAGAUGAUCUGUCUUCGUCAAAUGUGAAGCUUUUAAGAAACAUAACAGCCAUUCCCAUAGUUAGCAAACAUUAAUUGAAAAUACUUGAUGUAGCCUUAUAAUAUCCAUCCCACAUAUAUACAAUACAUUGAUAUAAAUGACUGAGUAGGAUAGGUUCCUAGUAUGCUUAUAAGUUCCUAACGCCCUAUUAGGUUAUUAUCUCUUAAUUGAAAUUACACAUGCUUAUAUAGUCAUGUACCAUUUUUGGGCUCCAGAAGAGGAGCAAAAUAUAAGUUCUAAGUCAUAUGAAUCUUUUUGUAGAUUGGCAUGAAUCAGGUCUUUAUAUAUUACCUGAUCGAAAAUAUUCUUGCAAAAAAAGUUACCAGCUUUUGGAAGUGCCACAACAGAACUUCAAUAUGCUAAAUGUAUGGAUGUCAUAAGUUAUCCCAGUUUAUAAUUUCACAGUGUGCAGGAUUGUUAUUGGAAUGUUGACUGUGUUCAAGAAGACAAAUGUUAAUUUCCAGUUUUGGCUUGCAGAGUUGUGCUAGGGGAGAGACAUCACAAUUCAGCAACUCUAUGGUGCUAAGGCCACUUGUGAUGGUUCUCAUGCUAAAGACGAGCCCUUCUUCACCUGGCUUUCCAGCUUGUGUUGCAAGCCAUGGGGGGAGGGGAAGCAACAGCAGCAGCAGCAACACAGCCUUAAAUGCCACGACGGCAACUUGUGAUAUUCCGUGUAGCUGACCGUAUGCUGCUCUCCUUGAGUGCCUUGGACGAGGAUGUGCCUCGGAUCUUAGCUUGCUUGGUCGGUCGGUUCAUCUUGACUGGUAAACUGUGUUCAAUAAACAUAUUUAUGCGUGCAUAUUUUUUUACAUAAUCCUUUUGGUAGGAUGAUGCCUUAAAUUCUUAACUUUUGGUAAAAGAAAUAUUACGGUUUACUGACAGCCUACUUGUUCAUUGUUCAUGGACCACAUCUACACGACCAUAUUGUUCGAGACUUAUGGCAGGAAAAACCAGCGAGCAUUAUACUGAUGACAGGUUAUUGUGGUAAGGCCCAUUUACCUAUCCUCUAUGGAAGAACAUGUACUCUACUGUGGUGAACCUGUAAGCAGCAGCUCAAAUCUCCCUUGCUCUAAAUUGUGUAGCUUUGCGAUGUAUGUACAUCAUGAGUGUUUUUGGCUUGGUCGAAUGUAAUAAAAUCUCUCUCUCUCUCUCUCUCUCUCUCUCUCUCUCUCUCUCUCUCUUGUAGCAUGAGGUACCUGAUGACUAAAUGUGAUAUUGGUACC
Non-coding RNA from Musa acuminata subsp. malaccensis (wild Malaysian banana), 2626 nucleotides. The record is from RefSeq and is a predicted model, not a curated record. NCBI's taxonomy places the organism in Eukaryota, Viridiplantae, Streptophyta, Magnoliopsida, Zingiberales, Musaceae.